UUAAUUACAAAUUUAAUUACAACAACAACAACAAAGCCUUAUCCCACUAAGUGGGGUUGGCUACAUGAAUCAAAUGACGCCAUUAUGCUCUGUCAUGUAUUAUGUCUACAAAGAGACUAUCUUUUGAGAAUGAUA
This is a non-coding RNA of Arachis ipaensis, 135 nucleotides long. The record is from RefSeq and is a predicted model, not a curated record. Lineage: Eukaryota; Viridiplantae; Streptophyta; Magnoliopsida; Fabales; Fabaceae.